ACAGUUUGAUCAUGGCUCAUGAUGAACGCUAGCGGGAGGCUUAACACAUGCAAGUCGAGGGGUAAAUGGCAGCAAUGCUAUGACACCGGCGGACGGGUGCGUAGCGCGUAUGCAACAUACCUUGUGCAGGGGGAUAGCCCGUGGAAACGCGGAUUAAUAUUCCAUAGUCCAGCUAUAUCGCAUGGUAUAAUUGGUAAAGAUUUAUCGGCACAACUUUGGCAUGCGUCUGAUUAUCUUGUUGGUAGGGUAACGGCCUACCAAGGCUACUAUCAGUAGGGGUUCUGAGAGGAUUAACCCCCACACUGGUACUGAGACACGGACCAGACUCCUACGGGAGGCAGCAGUGAGGAAUAUUGGUCAAUGGGCGGAAGCCUGAACCAGCCAUCCCGCGUGAAGGAAGACAGCCUUACGGGUUGUAAACUUCUUUUCUGUCAGAAGAAUAAGCUUGUCGAGACGAGUGAUGCCGGUAUGACAGGAAUAAGCAUCGGCUAACUCCGUGCCAGCAGCCGCGGUAAUACGGAGGAUGCAAGCGUUAUCCGGAUUUAUUGGGUUUAAAGGGUGCGCAGGUUGUUUGAUAAGUCAGUGGUGAAAGUCUGUCGCUUAACGGUAGGAUUGCCAUUGAUACUGUUGGACUUGAAUAUGGAUGAGGUAGGCGGAAUGUGUAGUGUAGCGGUGAAAUGCAUAGAUAUUACACAGAACACCGAUUGCGAAGGCAGCUUACUAAUCCAUCAUUGACGCUGAGGCACGAAAGCGUGCGGAUCAAACAGGAUUAGAUACCCUGGUAGUCCACGCCGUAAACGAUGAUCACUCGCUGUUUGCGAUAUACAGUAAGCGGCUAAGCGAAAGCGAUAAGUGAUCCACCUGCGGAGUACGAUCGCAAGGUUGAAACUCAUAUGAAUUGACCG
This 905-nucleotide ribosomal RNA is filed under the name uncultured bacterium. RNAcentral's name for it is "bacterial SSU rRNA". It matches the Rfam family "Bacterial small subunit ribosomal RNA", at positions 8 to 916 of the family's 1533-position model. The record is from RNAcentral.